GACGAACGCUGGCGGCGUGCUUAACGCAUGCAAGUCGAACGGAAAGGCCCUGCUUUUGUGGGGUGCUCGAGUGGCGAACGGGUGAGUAACACGUGAGUAACCUGCCCUUGACUUUGGGAUAACUUCAGGAAACUGGGGCUAAUACCGCAUAGGAUCUCCUGCUGCAUGGUGGGGGUUGGUAAGUUUCGGCGGUUGGGGAUGGACUCGCGGCUUAUCAGCUUGUUGGUGGGGUAGUGGCUUACCAAGGUUUUGACGGGUAGCCGGCCUGAGAGGGUGACCGGCCACAUUAGGACUGAGAUACGGCCCAGACUCGUACGGGAGGCAGCAGUGGAGAAUAUUGCACAAUGGGCGGAAGCCAGAUGCAGCAACGCCGCGUGCGGGAUGACGGGCUGCGGGUUGUAAACCGCUGUCGCCUGUGACGAAGCGUGAGUGACGGUAAUGGGUAAAGAAGCACCGGCUAACUACGUG
This 468-nucleotide ribosomal RNA is filed under the name uncultured bacterium. RNAcentral describes it as "partial 16S ribosomal RNA". It matches the Rfam family "Bacterial small subunit ribosomal RNA", at positions 28 to 507 of the family's 1533-position model. The record is from RNAcentral.